RNAcentral lists this transfer RNA (69 nucleotides) under Gallus gallus (chicken). RNAcentral's name for it is "tRNA-Met". The record is from RNAcentral. Lineage: Eukaryota; Metazoa; Chordata; Aves; Galliformes; Phasianidae.
AGUAAGGUCAGCUAACUAAGCUAUCGGGCCCAUACCCCGAAAAUGAUCCUUUAACCCCAUCCCCUACUA